RNAcentral lists this transfer RNA (96 nucleotides) under Candidatus Omnitrophota bacterium. RNAcentral's name for it is "Candidatus Omnitrophica bacterium tRNA-Ser". It matches the Rfam family "tRNA". Rfam says of the family: Transfer RNA (tRNA) molecules are approximately 80 nucleotides in length. Their secondary structure includes four short double-helical elements and three loops (D, anti-codon, and T loops). Further hydrogen bonds mediate the characteristic L-shaped molecular structure. tRNAs have two regions of fundamental functional importance: the anti-codon, which is responsible for specific mRNA codon recognition, and the 3' end, to which the tRNAs corresponding amino acid is attached (by aminoacyl-tRNA synthetases). tRNAs cope with the degeneracy of the genetic code in two manners: having more than one tRNA (with a specific anti-codon) for a particular amino acid; and 'wobble' base-pairing, i.e. permitting non-standard base-pairing at the 3rd anti-codon position. The record is from RNAcentral. Lineage: Bacteria; Pseudomonadati; Candidatus Omnitrophota.
GGAGAGGUGCCAGAGCCCGGUUGAAUGGGUCCGAUUCGAAAUCGGAAGUCCCGCCCUAAAGUGGGACCGUGGGUUCAAAUCCCACCCUCUCCGCCA